This 279-nucleotide ribosomal RNA is filed under the name uncultured soil bacterium. RNAcentral describes it as "partial 16S ribosomal RNA". It matches the Rfam family "Bacterial small subunit ribosomal RNA", at positions 26 to 285 of the family's 1533-position model. The record is from RNAcentral.
AGAAUCAACGCUGGCGGCGUGCCUCAGACAUGCAAGUCGAACGCGAAAGUUUCCUUCGGGAGGCGAGUAGAGUGGCGCACGGGUGAGUAACACGUAGGUAAUCUACCUUUGGGUGGGGAGUAACAGCCGGAAACGGCUGCUAAUACCGCAUAAUGCAGCGGCUCGACAUCGAGACAGUUGUUAAAGCGGGGGGAUUCGUAAGAACCUCGCGCCUAAAGAGGAGCCUGCGGCGGAUUAGCUAGUUGGUAAGGUAAUGGCUUACCAAGGCAUCGAUCCGUA